RNAcentral lists this long non-coding RNA (232 nucleotides) under Lathyrus oleraceus (garden pea). RNAcentral's name for it is "Pisum sativum (pea) long non-coding RNA (PSAT_LNC040395)". The record is from RNAcentral. Lineage: Eukaryota; Viridiplantae; Streptophyta; Magnoliopsida; Fabales; Fabaceae.
UUUUCUUUUGAAGAAAUCUUGAAAUUUUUUUGCUGAUUUUUGAUUUUUCAUCUUUUUCCACCCUCUCUUCUUUCAUUUUUUUUUUACAUUACAUUUGUAAUGCCCCAGUUUGACUGGUUUGCUGAUUCUCAUGAUACAGCUGAAUGAGCUUCUUCCGUGCUCAAGAAGUCGGGUAAUCUCAUCAGGAAUCCCCUUCAACAUCAUCUUCCUCUGCCUCGAAUACAAGGAAUUC